This 29-nucleotide transfer RNA is filed under the name Phocoena phocoena x Phocoenoides dalli. RNAcentral's name for it is "partial tRNA-Thr". The record is from RNAcentral. Lineage: Eukaryota; Metazoa; Chordata; Mammalia; Artiodactyla; Phocoenidae.
AAAGGAGAACCUCACCCCUCCCUAAGACU